RNAcentral lists this small RNA (485 nucleotides) under Drosophila virilis. RNAcentral's name for it is "GJ26602". Lineage: Eukaryota; Metazoa; Arthropoda; Insecta; Diptera; Drosophilidae. The record is from RNAcentral.
AGCUUCCUUUACUUUAAUUCUUGCCGAAGAACGCGUAACACUUAAAAUUUUAGAGCUCUCAAAAUGUGAACUGUAAUUGGCCGUUUGGGACGGUCCUAAUUAAUUUGGUAAAAUGUGAGCGCAAUUCUAAUGGAUUUACCGCUAUGAUAAUCUAGGCAGAAAGGUUAUGCACGAACAUGCUGCUGGGCAUUUAAUGGCUGUACGUGAAGUUGGCUGCACUCUUCGCUGGAUAAUAAUCCUGAAUUGGGUUAGUAUUCGUUUAACACGUGUUUUAUAUCCUAUUGCAUUUGCAAUGAUGAUCACUUAAACCAUUCACAGACACCAUAUAAAAGUUAAGCUCUGGCAAACUUCUUCAAUAUUUUUUUGAAGUAAGCGAGUCUUGCUUAGCCGGUUAUGGACCCUGGUUAAUAAAUUGGCACUGAGUCUUACACUUAAUGCACCAAUUAUGUUGUCAAAUAGCAAAUUUACUUAUGCCACGUUUUCUA